GGGGCGCCGAUCACUGCUCCGUCGCCGCCCGCGAGGCCCGCCAUGGCCACGGGCUCUGGAGGCCAGCGCCC
Unclassified non-coding RNA from Prolemur simus (greater bamboo lemur), 71 nucleotides. NCBI's taxonomy places the organism in Eukaryota, Metazoa, Chordata, Mammalia, Primates, Lemuridae. The record is from Ensembl.